AUUCCAGCUCCAAUAGCGUAUAUUAAAGUUGUUGCAGUUAAAAAGCUCGUAGUUGAAUUUCUGGUGGGAGUGUACAGUCCGACACUGAGUGUUGGUUCUUGUGUGUCUCCGGCCAUCCUUGGAGUGAAUCUGUCUGGCAUUUAGUUGUUGGGCAGAGUAUCUCCAUCGUUUACUGUGAGGAAAGGAAAGUGUUCAAAGCAGGCUUACGCCGUUGAAUCUUUUAGCAUGGAAUAAUAAGAUAGGUUCUUGAUACUAUUUUGUUGGUUUCGAACACCGGAGUAAUGAUUAACAGGGACAGUCAGGGGCACUCGUAUUCCGCCGAGAGAGGUGAAAUUCUCAGACCAGCGGAAGACGAACCACUGCGAAAGCAUUUGCCAGGGAUGUUUUCAUUG
This 392-nucleotide ribosomal RNA is filed under the name Eucampia sp. Its description in RNAcentral is "partial small subunit ribosomal RNA". It matches the Rfam family "Eukaryotic small subunit ribosomal RNA", at positions 582 to 975 of the family's 1831-position model. The record is from RNAcentral. Lineage: Eukaryota; Bacillariophyta; Thalassiosirophyceae; Eucampiales; Eucampiaceae.